UACGUAGGGUGCGAGCGUUGUCCGGAUUUACUGGGCGUAAAGAGCGCGUAGGCGGUUCGUUAAGUGUAGAGUGAAAGCCCCGGGCUCAACCUGGGAAUGGCAAUGGAUACUGGACAGCUAGAGUGCGGUAGAGGGUAGUGGAAUUCCCGGUGUAGAGGUGAAAUUCGUAGAUAUUGGGAAGAACACCGAUGGCGAAGGCAGCCAUCUGGACCGACACUGACGCUGAGGCGCGAAAGCGUGGGGAGCAAACAGG
Molecule: ribosomal RNA, 253 nt
Filed under: uncultured bacterium
Lineage: Bacteria
Description: partial 16S ribosomal RNA
Rfam family: Bacterial small subunit ribosomal RNA
Source: RNAcentral